GACGAACGCUGGCGGCAUGCCUAACACAUGCAAGUCGAACGAGACCUUCGGGUUUAGUGGCGCACGGGUGCGUAACGCGUGGGAACCUGCCCUUAGGUUCGGAAUAACUCCCCGAAAGGGGUUCUAAUACCGGAUAAUGUCUUCGGACCAAAGAUUUAUCGCCUUUGGAUGGGCCCGCGUGGUAUUAGGUAGUUGGUAGGGCAAAAGCCUACUAAGGCGACGAUCCGUAGCUGGUCUGAGAGGAGGAUCAGCCAGACUGGGACUGGGACCCGGCCCAGACUCGUAGGGGAGGUGGCAGUGGGGGAUAUUGGGGAGGGGGCGAAAGCCUGCUCCAGCAAGGCCGCGUGAGUGAUGAAGGCCUUAGGGUUGUAAAGCUCUUUUAACCGGGAUGUUAAUGACGGUAGCGGGAAAAUAAGCUCCGGCUAACUCCGUG
RNAcentral lists this ribosomal RNA (433 nucleotides) under uncultured bacterium. Its description in RNAcentral is "partial 16S ribosomal RNA". It matches the Rfam family "Bacterial small subunit ribosomal RNA", at positions 28 to 507 of the family's 1533-position model. The record is from RNAcentral.